This 484-nucleotide ribosomal RNA is filed under the name uncultured bacterium. Its description in RNAcentral is "partial 16S ribosomal RNA". It matches the Rfam family "Bacterial small subunit ribosomal RNA", at positions 30 to 507 of the family's 1533-position model. The record is from RNAcentral.
AUUGAACGCUGGCGGCAUGCCUUACACAUGCAAGUCGAACGGCAGCACGGGUGCUUGCACCUGGUGGCGAGUGGCGAACGGGUGAGUAAUACAUCGGAACAUGUCCUGUAGUGGGGGAUAGCCCGGCGAAAGCCGGAUUAAUACCGCAUACGAUCUACGGAUGAAAGCGGGGGACCUUCGGGCCUCGCGCUAUGGGGUUGGCCGAUGGCUGAUUAGCUAGUUGGUGGGGUAAAGGCCUACCAAGGCGACGAUCAGUAGCUGGUCUGAGAGGACGACCAGCCACACUGGGACUGAGACACGGCCCAGACUCCUACGGGAGGCAGCAGUGGGGAAUUUUGGACAAGGGGCGAAAGCCUGAUCCAGCAAUGCCGCGUGUGAAGAAGGCCUUCGGGUUGUAAAGCACUUUUGUCCGGAAAGAAAUCCUUGGCCCUAAUACGGUCGGGGGAUGACGGUACCGGAAGAAUAAGCACCGGCUAACUACGUG